CAAUAGCGUAUAUUAAAGUUGUUGCGGUUAAAAAGCUCGUAGUUGGAUUUCUGUUGAGGAAGGACGGUCCGCACUAAGUGCGUGUAUCUGUUACUGCCUCGGCAUCCUCUAGGAGAACGGUGCUGUGAUUCACUUCAUGGUCCGGAAUUCUAGACUUUUACUUUGAGGAAAUUAGAGUGUUCACGGCAAGCAAUCGCUUUGAAUACAUUAGCAUGGAAUAAUAAUAUAGGACCUUGGAUCUAUUUUGUUGGUUUCUAGAACUAAGGUAAUGAUUAAUAGGGAUAAUUGGGGGCAUUCGUAUUAACGCGUCAGAGGUGGAAUUCUUGGAUUGCGUUACGACGAACUACUGCGAAAGCAUUUGCCAAGGAUGUUUUCAUUGA
RNAcentral lists this ribosomal RNA (380 nucleotides) under uncultured eukaryote. RNAcentral describes it as "partial 18S ribosomal RNA". It matches the Rfam family "Eukaryotic small subunit ribosomal RNA", at positions 592 to 976 of the family's 1831-position model. The record is from RNAcentral.